GAUGAACGCUGGCGGCGUGCCUAAUACAUGCAAGUCGAGCGAACAGACGAUGAUCUUGCUCCUCUGACGUUAGCGGCUGACGGGUGAGUAACACGUGUAUAACCUACCUAUAAUACUGGGAUAACUUCGUGAAACCGGAUCUAAUACCGGAUAAUAUAUUUAACCGCAUGGUUCAAUAGUGAAAGACGGUUUUGCUGUCACUUAUAGAUGGAUCCGCGCCGCAUUAGCUAGUUGGUAAGGUAACGGCUUACCAAGGCAACGAUGCGUAGCCGACCUGAGAGGGUGAUCGGACACACUGGAACGGAGACACGGACCAGACUACUACGGGAGGCAGCAGUAGGGAAUAUUACGAAAUGGGCGAAAGCAUGACGGAGAAAAGCCGAGUGAGAGAUGAAGGUCUUCGGAUCGUAAAACUCUGUUAUUAGGGAAGAAAAAAUGUGUAAGGAAAUAUGCACGUAUUGACGGUAACUAAUAAGAAAGCAACGGCUAACUACGUG
This 497-nucleotide ribosomal RNA is filed under the name uncultured bacterium. Its description in RNAcentral is "partial 16S ribosomal RNA". It matches the Rfam family "Bacterial small subunit ribosomal RNA", at positions 28 to 507 of the family's 1533-position model. The record is from RNAcentral.